CAUGCAAAUGACAAAAAUGAUGCAAAAUUUGCUCAUAAAAUUAAAAAUAACCGACUUCCUGUUGGGUUUCGGAUAUUGCUCCAAGAGUCUUUUUUGUAGGUACUGAUGCUUUACAUAUGUGUGCCAAUUUUCGUGCAUGUACGUGAAACACAGCUCGAGGGCUGUUGAUUUUUUUACGAUAGGUGGCGCUGUUGAGCCAUUUUGCCACACCCUCUUCUGAAACCUAUAUCAGACGUAAAUUUUCACCAGGUCUGACGCGUGUGCAAAGUUUCAGGACUUUUCGAGCAUGUUUAGGCCCUCAAAAAUGCGAUUCAUUUUGGAGAAGAAGAAGAAGAAGAAUAAUAAUAAUAAUAAUAAACGAAGCAGAUACAAGAGGGUCCUCACACCAUCGGUGCUCGGGCCCUAAUUAAAGCUGCAAGCAGCGAUGAACGGGCCCUCGCACCCGGGCUCACCACCACCGGGUGGCUUUUGUAAAACAGCGAACGGCGAGAAAUAUGCGUUUAAUGUGGUAAAUAUAAGAGGAAUAUGUCAAAGUCAUUUAUAUAUGCCAAUCUUCCUGCUGCCAGCUGGUGGCGCUAUGACUAUAACUGGAUGUUGUCAUGUAGAUUUCUUCAGUCCAGCACUUUUAUCAAGCAUAUGAAAUUUAGUGCAGAUUGAACAUGGAAUGUUUGAGUUAGUAUAAAGCAUGUUGUGUCCUAUUGCCAACAGGUGGCGCUAUGAUUAUAACUGAACAUUGG
Long non-coding RNA from Cyprinus carpio carpio, 737 nucleotides. Lineage: Eukaryota; Metazoa; Chordata; Actinopteri; Cypriniformes; Cyprinidae. The record is from Ensembl.